GUAAAGUUCUUUUACGAGGGAUAAUUAUGAUAGUACUUCGUGAAUAAGUGACAGCAAACUAUGUGCCAGCAGCUGCGGUAAUACAUAGGUCGCGAGCAUUAUUCGGAUUUAUUGGGCGUAAAGCAAGCGCAGGCGGAUGUGUAAGUUCUGUGUUAAAUGCAGCUACUCAAUAGUUGUAUGCACCGAAUACUACAUGUCUAGAUUGUGGUAGGGAGUUUCGGAAUUAAGCAUGGAGCGGUGGAAUGUGUAGAUAUGCUUAAGAACACCAGAGGCGAAGGCGGAAACUUAGGCCAUAAAUGACGCUUAGGCUUGAAAGUGUGGGGAGCAAAUGGGAUUAGAUACCCCAGUAGUCCACACCGUAAACGAUGGGUAUUAGAUAUUAGGGCUUUAGCUUUAGUGUUGUAGCUUACGCGUUAAAUACCCCGCCUGGGUAGUACAUAUGCAAAUAUGAAACUCAAAGGAAUUGACGGGGACCUGAA
Molecule: ribosomal RNA, 479 nt
Filed under: Mycoplasma haemofelis
Lineage: Bacteria; Bacillati; Mycoplasmatota; Mollicutes; Mycoplasmatales; Mycoplasmataceae
Description: bacterial SSU rRNA
Rfam family: Bacterial small subunit ribosomal RNA
Source: RNAcentral